Molecule: ribosomal RNA, 346 nt
Filed under: uncultured bacterium
Lineage: Bacteria
Description: partial 16S ribosomal RNA
Rfam family: Bacterial small subunit ribosomal RNA
Source: RNAcentral
GGGCGCAWKYYUGAUGCAGCNCMYGCCGCGUGUAUGAAGAAGGCCUUCGGGUUGUAAAGUACUUUCAGCGGGGAGGAAGGGAGUAAAGUUAAUACCUUUGCUCAUUGACGUUACCCGCAGAAGAAGCACCGGCUAACUCCGUGCCAGCAGCCGCGGUAAUACGGAGGGUGCAAGCGUUAAUCGGAAUUACUGGGCGUAAAGCGCACGCAGGCGGUUUKUUWAGUCAGAUGUGAAAUCCCCGGGCUCAACCUGGGAACUGCAUCUGAUACUGGCAAGCUUGAGUCUCGUAGAGGGGGGUAGAAUUCCAGGUGUAGCGGUGAAAUGCGUAGAGAUCUGGAGGAAUACC